This 600-nucleotide ribosomal RNA is filed under the name uncultured bacterium. RNAcentral's name for it is "bacterial SSU rRNA". It matches the Rfam family "Bacterial small subunit ribosomal RNA", at positions 93 to 711 of the family's 1533-position model. The record is from RNAcentral.
GAGCGGCGUACGGGUGCGGAACACGUGUGCAACUGCCUUUAUCUGGGGGAUAGCCUUUCGAAAGGAAGAUUAAUACCCCAUAAUAUGUUGAAUGGCAUCAUUCGACAUUGAAAACUCCGGUGGAUAGAGAUGGGCACGCGCAAGAUUAGAUAGUUGGUGAGGUAACGGCUCACCAAGUCUACGAUCUUUAGGGGGGCCUGAGAGGGUGAUCCCCCACACUGGUACUGAGACACGGACCAGACUCCUACGGGAGGCAGCAGUGAGGAAUAUUGGACAAUGGGUGAGAGCCUGAUCCAGCCAUCCCGCGUGAGGGACGACUGCCCUAUGGGUUGUAAACUUCUUUUGUAUAGGGAUAAACCUACCCUCGUGAGGGUAGCUGAAGGUACUAUACGAAUAAGCACCGGCUAACUCCGUGCCAGCAGCCGCGGUAAUACGGAGGGUGCAAGGCGUUAUCCGGAUCUAUCGGGGUUUANAGGGUCCGAAGGCGGAUCCUGUAAGGUCACGUGGUGAAAUUCUUCCACAGUUUAACUUGUGAAACUUGGCCUUGGAAUACUUGGCGGGUCCUUCGCAGUUGUCUGGUCGCAAUAACCUCGGGAAAUA